Molecule: unclassified non-coding RNA, 367 nt
Filed under: Hevea brasiliensis (rubber tree)
Lineage: Eukaryota; Viridiplantae; Streptophyta; Magnoliopsida; Malpighiales; Euphorbiaceae
Source: RNAcentral
AAAUAAAAUAAUCUUGCACUUUGAAACUGCUUUCUGGCCAAAUGUUGAGUUUUUAGGAGUUGUUGCAGACACAUCACAGAAUUGCAGCUACUUCCUCAAUCUUCACAAGGCCACAAGCCAUCCUGUCCUUGUUUACAUGCCUUCUGGGAAGCUUGCUAGAGAGAUUGAGAAGAUGUCAGAUCAAGAAGCUGCCAAUUUUGCUUUCAUGCAACUCAAGAAGGUCGUACCUGAUGCGCCUGCCCCGAUUCAGCAUCUAGUUUCUAGAUGGGGGUCAGAUGUCAAUUCACUUGGAUCCUACAGCUACGACAUAGUAGGCAAACCCCAUCAUCUGUUUGAGAGGCUGAGGAUCCCUGUCGACAACCUCUUU